GGGUUCCCGAGCGGCAAAGGAGCGAACUGUAAAUCUGCCGUCACAGACUUCGAAGGUUCGAAUCCUUCCCCACCA
RNAcentral lists this transfer RNA (75 nucleotides) under Salmonella enterica subsp. enterica. Its description in RNAcentral is "tRNA-Tyr". The record is from RNAcentral. Lineage: Bacteria; Pseudomonadati; Pseudomonadota; Gammaproteobacteria; Enterobacterales; Enterobacteriaceae.